Non-coding RNA from Pelobates cultripes (western spadefoot toad), 1282 nucleotides. Lineage: Eukaryota; Metazoa; Chordata; Amphibia; Anura; Pelobatidae. The record is from the annotation of a GenBank genome assembly.
CUUGAAUUUAUUGUGACUUUUUUUUUUAACAAGAUCAAUAUAACAAUGCAAUUUAUUGAUUGGAAAUAACCACCAAAGGGUAUUUCCAUAACCUCCCUAUGCAUUUAUAAACUUAUAUAAUUAAUUGUUUUUCAUUUUAAAAGCUACUACAUGUGGCCUGAGCAUUAUACAUACGUUUCCUCAUCUUGACAUUUAUCAAUAUAUUUGUGUAUGUUGUAAAAACAACACAUCAGCAUAUAUUAUUUUGGUGAAGGCUUUCUAAUGCAUACUUUUAAAAAUGGACGUGUUUCAACGUGUGAAAAUAAACAGCGACUCCUAAAAAGGUUGCAUGUUUCAAAGUAAGAUAUGUGAUAGAUUGUAAAUACAGAUCUAAAUAAAAAUACUGGACCUUGUAACUGGAUCUGCAAAUGUCUGAGGAUUCAAAUUUGUAUUUCAAUUAAUUAUAAAAUUCAAUCUAAUUUGCAUUAUUGCAUAUCAAACUUACGCUCAGAUGAAAAAAAAAAACAACUAAUAAGCACCUGUAUACACAUGUUGGCCAGAGCGAUGUGACAGCUUGCCAAUUUAGGUCUAGAUUGACAGCCUAUUGGACAGACAUAACGUGCCUACCUAACUUAUUCCAAAUAAAAAGACGAACCCCCAUAUAAAAACAUUGUAACACAUCUAUAAAUAUAUAUUUAUAAGUCCCACGUGUCUUAUGCUAUACUUAGACGGGAUAGACUGCUAACCAAUUAUUCUUAUGUUACGAAGAAUGAUGAUCCAUGUCUAAGGAUCAUGGGAACUGUAGUUUAUCAACAGCAGGAGAUAGCUCUGCAAUACAGCUUUGGCUUUGCAAUUUUUUCAGAUAAUCAUAGCAAAAACUGUUUUGUGUCCAGUAAUUGGACCAUCCUUGCCCUAGGGACCUCUGUAUGUACUUCAACGCCUGCUGCAUAUGGAAGAAUAUAUUUUAUCAUAAGAAAACCUGCACCUUUUGUAAUGCUGUCAGCAUAUUUAAAGGUUUUUGGAAAUCAUUGUUAAUCAGGAAUAGUUGAAAUUAGCAUGAGCACUUUACUGCUCUAUAUCACAUGUAGGUGCAAUUUAGUUGUUGAUCAGAUAUUCUCUUGCCAAAGUGCAAAAACUAUAUAUUUCUAGUUUCUCGAAAUAAAUAUUGCAAUGUAUAUAUGUUUCCCUUACCCACGGGACAUCAGGGAAAGCGUUGUAGACCCUCUGGUAACUGAAGGGUUAACACCCAUAAAACUGUGGCCCAUUGCAGGUCAUUCCUAAUAUCGAUCAAUCGAUGACGACA